AGAGUGAACGCUGGCGGUAGGCCUAACACAUGCAAGUCGAACGGCAGCACAGUGGUAGCAAUACCAUGGGUGGCGAGUGGCGGACGGGUGAGGAAUACAUCGGAAUCUACCUUUUCGUGGGGGAUAACGUAGGGAAACUUACGCUAAUACCGCAUACGCCCUUCGGGGGAAAGCCGGGGAUCGCAAGACCUGGCGCGGAUAGAUGAGCCGAUGUCGGAUUAGCUAGUUGGUGAGGUAAUGGCUCACCAAGGCGACGAUCCGUAGCUGGUCUGAGAGGAUGAUCAGCCACACUGGAACUGAGACACGGUCCAGACUCCUACGGGAGCAGCAGUGGGGAAUUUGGACAAGUGGGCGAAAGCCGUAGAUCCAGCAAUGCCGCGUG
This 382-nucleotide ribosomal RNA is filed under the name uncultured soil bacterium. RNAcentral's name for it is "bacterial SSU rRNA". It matches the Rfam family "Bacterial small subunit ribosomal RNA", at positions 26 to 403 of the family's 1533-position model. The record is from RNAcentral.